This is a long non-coding RNA of Pecten maximus, 880 nucleotides long. RefSeq lists it as uncharacterized. NCBI's taxonomy places the organism in Eukaryota, Metazoa, Mollusca, Bivalvia, Pectinida, Pectinidae. The transcript has 2 exons. The record is from RefSeq and is a predicted model, not a curated record.
AACAUGUAAUAGGGUGAUUAAUGUCAUGCUUUAUAUAAUUUGUAUGUAUAUAUUUUAUUGACUUGUGUUAUUUAUUUAUUUGUGCCCAUAUUGUUCAGUGUGUGUGUAACAGAAGAGGUGUUUGUGUGUUAUAGAUUACAGGGAGUGAUUAUUGCUGACUUACCUGUAUGUCUAUUUUUAAGUUACCUUACCUGUAUAGUUAUAUUUUUAUACAUCACAUGACGUACAUGUGAUAGGUUUCUAUACUUUUUAUUGGUCAAGAUAUUAUAAUAGCCUUUGGUCAGUUUGGCGGGAAUCUCUUUGUAAGGAAGUUAGUUCUCUACAGUCUGCCAAACUGAUCAGACCUAUACAUAUAUUGAGUCGGACAUUUGUGACAAAGGACCGAAAGACAGAGAAUUUAUUGAUUGUCAUAAGAAACAUGGAAUACUGGUGAUGAUAUGAGGUUGAAACGGCUCUGUGCCAUACACAGGUGAAUACCUUUUUAGUGUAUUGUAAUAUUGUGUAACUUAUUAUGGGAGAAUCCAGUUUGUUUAUAUAUGUUGAUACAAAUCUCUUUAUAGGUGAUUUGUACUAGAGUAGAUCUUUCGUCUCAAAGAUAAAUUUCAUGUUAAAUGUAUAUGAUCUAUAUUUAUUGUAAUUUCAAUAAGAUAGUUGUAAAGAUAAUUAUUACAAAGUUAAUAUCUUAGUUAAAUGUAAUUACAUGUGUCCAGAUAGCUUAUAUUUCGUGUUUAGCAUAACUAGUGUGAUUCGCUAGUUAUCUCCCUUGAUUGUAUCUUGCAAUGUAUGUGCUUUGUGUAAUUUUAGUCUUUUAUGUUUGUUACAGAGUGUAGGUGUUUUAACCUACUGAACUUGUCAAAAUAAAGAACUCACGACAAACAAA